This 326-nucleotide RNase P RNA is filed under the name Solirubrobacteraceae bacterium. RNAcentral's name for it is "RNase P RNA component class A". It matches the Rfam family "Bacterial RNase P class A". From Rfam's summary of the family: Ribonuclease P (RNase P) is a ubiquitous endoribonuclease, found in archaea, bacteria and eukarya as well as chloroplasts and mitochondria. Its best characterised activity is the generation of mature 5'-ends of tRNAs by cleaving the 5'-leader elements of precursor-tRNAs. Cellular RNase Ps are ribonucleoproteins. Lineage: Bacteria; Bacillati; Actinomycetota; Thermoleophilia; Solirubrobacterales; Solirubrobacteraceae. The record is from RNAcentral.
CCGGCGCGCUGGGCAGUCGCGGGAGGCCUUGCGCCUCUCGAGGAAAGUCCGGACAUCACAGGGCAGGGUGGUCGCGUAGGUGACCCGGGGAAACCCGCGGGAAAGUGCCACAGAAAUACACCGCCGAUGGCUGCGCGAGCAGCACAGGCAAGGGUGAAAAGGUGCGGUAAGAGCGCACCGGCGCCGCGGUGACGCGGCGGCCAGGUAAACCCCACCCGAUGCAAGACCGAGCCGAACCGCUUGUAGGCGGCCCGUCGAGGUUCAGGUAGGUCGCAGAGAUGGAUGACUGUUCUCGACAGAAUCCGGCUUAUAGGCGCGCUACCGCC